Procambarus clarkii (red swamp crayfish) is the source of this 106-nucleotide small nuclear RNA. Lineage: Eukaryota; Metazoa; Arthropoda; Malacostraca; Decapoda; Cambaridae. The record is from RefSeq and is a predicted model, not a curated record.
UGCUUCAGCAGUAUAUGUACAGUACUAAAAUUGUAACAAUACAGAGGAUUAGCAUUGUUCCCUGUGCAAGAAUGUCACAUGACUCCGUGUAGUGUUCCAUAUCUCU